RNAcentral lists this ribosomal RNA (459 nucleotides) under uncultured bacterium. RNAcentral describes it as "partial 16S ribosomal RNA". It matches the Rfam family "Bacterial small subunit ribosomal RNA", at positions 338 to 795 of the family's 1533-position model. The record is from RNAcentral.
CCUACGGGCGGCAGCAGUGAGGAAUAUUGGUCAAUGGCCGAGAGGCUGAACCAGCCAAGUCGCGUGAGGGAAGACGGCCCUACGGGUUGUAAACCUCUUUUGUCGGGGAGCAAAGCGAGCCACGGGUGACGCAUUGAGAGUACCCGAAGAAAAAGCAUCGGCUAACUCCGUGCCAGCAGCCGCGGUAAUACGGAGGAUGCGAGCUUUAUCCGGAUUUAUUGGGUUUAAAGGGUGCGCAGGCGGAGGUGCAAGUCAGCGGUAAAAUUGCGGGGCUCAACCCCGUACUGCCGUUGAAACUGCUUGCCUUGAGUGCGCGAGAGGUAUGCGGAAUGCGUGGUGUAGCGGUGAAAUGCAUAGAUAUCACGCAGAACUCCGAUUGCGAAGGCAGCAUACCGGCGCGCAACUGACGCUGAGGCACGAAAGCGUGGGUAUCGAACAGGAUUAGAUACCCGAGUAGUC